AGUCAAUGCCCAUAUCGAUUACAAGGUACUAAUAUUUGACAUAGAGUAAUUGUUGACAAUGUCAUUGACAAUUUUUAUUUUAGCAGCAACAGGUUCAUCGAUCAGUUGUCAUGAGUUACCACUGUGUUCAAUUGAAACAUUAGCAGUCUAGUUGUCGAUUGGAUGUGAUAUAAGUCAAGCGGACAUUUGCUUGAAAUAAAUAUUGUCAAAUCAAUAUUUAAUUUCAUGUUUUUUUUUGAUAAUUUUUCAUAUUUUUAAUUAAUACAAACAAGUGUGAUAAAGUUUUGUUUUAUUUUAGUAAAAUUUCAAGUAUAUAUUUGAAUAAUUCUAGUGAUUAAAAUGUCAAUUGAACCUUGUGAAAUUGUAAUUGACGAAGCAAGUCAAACUGAUAAUGAAGAUAAUACAGAUUCUUUUCAUUUUCCACCAAGAAGUCGUAGAGUAAUAGACAAUGCUUCAUCAGCUAUUCAACAAAGUCCAGUGUUUAUUAAUCAAACAACAACUAGAAAAAAAUCACACAAAAAUUAUUUGAACAAUGUUCAUGAUUUUCAUUCAGCUAUGGGACCCAUUAUUACAAUUGGACAAUAUUUUGGAGUUUUUGCAAUUGACGGUAUUAAAAAUCCAACUCCAGAAACAAUGACAUUUAAAAUUAAAUCAUUUAGAACAAUAUAUUCAUGUGGAGUGUCUUUGAAUAUUUUAAUUUUAUUAUAUUGCAUUGUGUUUCACAUUAUCAGAGAAUCUAUAAAUAAAAAUAAAGAAGUAUCAUCUUCUCUGAUUCCAUUUGGUAUAUUUAUUGGAUUAUCAUUUUUGAUAAAUGUUAUAUGUAUUUGCCGUUCACAAAUGUGGAUUGAUCUUCAGAUGAAGUGGAAAAAAGUGGAAGAGACGCUGGACAUGUUCUACUUACAUACUCCACAAUUACGUAUAAAAUUCCAGAUAUUUUUUUCUCUUGCUGAAAUAUUUAAACUCGGAGCUCAUGUCAUGGCUGUAGUAUUUAGUGCUAAAAAUGCAAAUGGAGUAAUUGAACAAAUUCAAUUAAGAGGAAAGUUUUUGGUUGAUGCUUUUUAUGGAAGCAAUGAUAUUUCUUUUGACAGUUGGCUUGGCAUCCUAGGAAUUUAUUUUCUAAUUAUUCUCGUCUUUGCCAGUUUCAUUAGAAUGUUUACAGAUCUUUUUAUUAUUUUUCUGGCGAUUGGACUUACUGAAAGAUACAAAGCUAUGAAUGAACAUGUUUCUGAUUUGAUUAAAUCAAAUUGUCAACCAAUCAAUUGGUCUCGACUCAAAAUACAUUAUGAAAUGUUGAGUGAUCUUGUCAGAGAAACAGAUCGUGUUAUUUCACCGCUCAUUUUUUUAUCCAUUGGUAGUAAUAUUUAUUUCAUCUGUAUUUACCUUUUGGAUGGACUAAUUCCACAACAUGAUGGCAUAUUGAAUGCAAUAUAUUUUUUUGGAGGAUUUGUAUUAUUAGUUAUCAAAACAAUUGCAGUUAUUCUAUUUGCAGCCAGAAUCAAUGACGAGAGUAAAAAACCAAUAUUAUUUCUUUCAAAAUGUCCAGUACAAGGUCCCUCAUUUGAACCUCAGUGGUUACAACUCCAAUUAUCAAUUGACGAAGUUGCACUCACAGCAAUGAAUUGUUUUUCCAUCACUCGAAAAUUCCUGAUAACGGUCACCACAACUGUUAUUUCGUAUGAGAUCGUAUUGUUGCAGUUCCAAAAAUCAAUGAAUUAAGUGAAAUAUUUAACCCUAGUAAAAAUCAGUCUUAAGUGCAAGUGAUAGCAUAUAAAAUUAUCACAGUAAAUCGUAUUAUGACUUGAUUUUACUGGGCUAUGAAAAUAUCAACAAUGCUCAUAGUUUUCAUUCAGCUAUCGGGCCCAUUAUUACAAUUGGACAGUAUUUUGGAAUUUUUGCAAUGGACGGUGUCAACAAUCCAAUUCCAGAAAUGAUGACCUUCAAAAUGAAAUCCUGGAGGACAAUUUAUUCAUGUGUAGUAUCGUUGAAUAUUUUAAUUGUACUAUAUUGCGUUGUGUUUCACAUUAUCGAUCAAAAAAAAGAAAUAAAGUUAUGUACGUUAUUACCAUUUGCUAUUUACAUGGGCUUAACAAUUUUGAUAAAUGUUGUAUGUAUCUUUCGUUCACAAAUGUGGAUCAAUCUCCAGAUAAAGUGGAAAAAAGUGGAAGAGUCGCUGGACAUGUUUUAUUUACAAUCACCGCGCCUUUAUUUCAAAUUCAAAAUAAUUUUCGCUGUCACUGAAUUUCUAGAUGUCGGAAAUCAUAUCACAAGUGUCAUAUUCAGAGCUGACAAUGAAAAUGGAGUAACAAAUUAUUUAAAAUCAAGAGGAAAAUUUCUAACUGAAGCUUUUUUAGGAAGCAAUACCCUUUUUUUAGUUAUUGGCUUGGCAUCCUGGGAAUUUAUGUCCUAAUUAUUCCCAUCAUUGCUGCUUUCAUUAAAAGCUUUACAAACGUUAUUAUUAUUUUU
This 2463-nucleotide unclassified non-coding RNA is filed under the name Aphidius gifuensis. Its description in RNAcentral is "gustatory receptor for sugar taste 64f-like, transcript variant X3". Lineage: Eukaryota; Metazoa; Arthropoda; Insecta; Hymenoptera; Braconidae. The record is from RNAcentral.